This 253-nucleotide ribosomal RNA is filed under the name unidentified marine bacterioplankton. RNAcentral describes it as "partial 16S ribosomal RNA". It matches the Rfam family "Bacterial small subunit ribosomal RNA", at positions 55 to 339 of the family's 1533-position model. The record is from RNAcentral.
AUGCAAGUCGAUCGCCCCGCAAGGGGAGAGGCGAACGGGUGAGUAUAACAUAGGUAUCUGCCUAUCACUGGGGGAUAACUACUGGAAACAGUAGCUAAUACCGCAUACGCCAUAUUGGGAAAGCUCCGGCGGUGAUAGAUGAGCCUAUGCCUGAUUAGCUAGUUGGUAGGGUAAAAGCCUACCAAGGCAACGAUCAGUAGCUGGUCUGAGAGGAUGAUCAGCCACACUGGGACUGAGACACGGCCCAGACUCC